AUUUAAAUAGCUUAUAUUAGAGUAUAAUAUUGAAGAUAUUAUGGAGGUUAUUUUAAUCUUUAAAUA
This 66-nucleotide transfer RNA is filed under the name Orecta lycidas. RNAcentral's name for it is "tRNA-Phe". The record is from RNAcentral. Lineage: Eukaryota; Metazoa; Arthropoda; Insecta; Lepidoptera; Sphingidae.